This 87-nucleotide transfer RNA is filed under the name Candidatus Omnitrophota bacterium. RNAcentral's name for it is "tRNA-Ser". It matches the Rfam family "tRNA". Rfam says of the family: Transfer RNA (tRNA) molecules are approximately 80 nucleotides in length. Lineage: Bacteria; Pseudomonadati; Candidatus Omnitrophota. The record is from RNAcentral.
GGAAGGGUGCCUGAGUGGACGAAAGGGACGGUCUUGAAAACCGUUAAGGGAGAAAUCUCUUCGCGAGUUCGAAUCUCGCCCCUUCCG